This 259-nucleotide unclassified non-coding RNA is filed under the name uncultured fungus. RNAcentral describes it as "partial contains 5.8S ribosomal RNA, internal transcribed spacer 2, and large subunit ribosomal RNA". The stretch from base 1 to 52 matches the Rfam family "5.8S ribosomal RNA", at positions 103 to 154 of the family's 154-position model. The record is from RNAcentral. Lineage: Eukaryota; Fungi.
AACGCAUAUUGCGCCCCUUGGUAUUCCAUGGGGCAUGCCUGUUCGAGCGUCAUUUACACCCUCAAGCUGUGCUUGGUGUUGGGCGUCUGUCCAAGGUUCUCCUUUGGACUCGCCCCAAAGGCAUUGGCAGCUGUCCUAAUGGGCCUCCUAAUCGCGCAGCACUGUUAGCGCUCCCUGGAACCCAUGUAGAUUCAGCAUCCAUGAAGCCCAAUUUUUCGAACUUGACCUCGGAUCAGGUAGGGAUACCCGCUGAACUUAA